This 255-nucleotide ribosomal RNA is filed under the name Acinetobacter baumannii. RNAcentral's name for it is "partial 23S ribosomal RNA". It matches the Rfam family "Bacterial large subunit ribosomal RNA", at positions 751 to 1004 of the family's 2925-position model. Lineage: Bacteria; Pseudomonadati; Pseudomonadota; Gammaproteobacteria; Moraxellales; Moraxellaceae. The record is from RNAcentral.
GUUGGGUAACACUAACUGGAGGACCGAACCCACUGUCGUUGAAAAGCCAGGGGAUGACUUGUGGAUAGGGGUGAAAGGCUAAUCAAGCCUGGUGAUAGCUGGUUCUCCCCGAAAGCUAUUUAGGUAGCGCCUCGGACGAAUACCAUAGGGGGUAGAGCACUGUUUCGGCUAGGGGGUCAUCCCGACUUACCAAACCGAUGCAAACUCCGAAUACCUAUGAGUACUAUCCGGGAGACAGACUGCGGGUGCUAACGU